Molecule: non-coding RNA, 110 nt
Organism: Acanthosepion pharaonis
Lineage: Eukaryota; Metazoa; Mollusca; Cephalopoda; Sepiida; Sepiidae
Source: the annotation of a GenBank genome assembly
CGGCCACAUCACGUUAAAAUACCGGUUCCCGUACGGACACUGAAGUUAAGCAACGUUGAGCCUGGUCAAUACCUAAAUGGGCGAGCGCUUGAGAAUACCAGAUGCUGUAG